CAAUAAAAAUGUAUCACUAUAUAAUUUAAUAUUUUAUAUCUGCACUAUGCUAUCCUUCCUGUCUGUCUAUCUGUCUGUCUGUCUAUCUAUCUAUCUCUGUCUGUCUAUUUAUAUUCAACAAAAGGCUUGAACAGUAUAUUUAUUUGUACUGGUGGUGUAACCAGCAGUACUUUGGUCAACACUCAUGUGACUUUCUCCUCUAUAAUUUAGCUUUUAUUU
Molecule: non-coding RNA, 219 nt
Organism: Pelobates cultripes (western spadefoot toad)
Lineage: Eukaryota; Metazoa; Chordata; Amphibia; Anura; Pelobatidae
Source: the annotation of a GenBank genome assembly